GUCCACGCCCUAAACGAUGUCAACUAGUUGUUGGUAGAGUAAAAUCUAUGAGUAACGCAGCUAACGCGUGAAGUUUACCGCCUGGGGAGUACGAUCGCAAGAUUAAAACUCAAAUGAAUUGACGGGUGCCCCGCACAAGCGGUGGAUUAUGUGGAUUAAUUCGAUGCAACGCGAAAACCUUACCUGGCCUUGACAUGUACCGAAUUUACCAGAGAUGGUUUAGUGCUCUAAAGAGAACGGUAACACAGGUGCUGCAUGGCUGUCGU
RNAcentral lists this ribosomal RNA (266 nucleotides) under uncultured bacterium. Its description in RNAcentral is "partial 16S ribosomal RNA". It matches the Rfam family "Bacterial small subunit ribosomal RNA", at positions 793 to 1055 of the family's 1533-position model. The record is from RNAcentral.